GGCACUUUGGCAGAGUGGUUAACGCGACGCCCUGCUAAGGCGUUUCCCUUUGUGGCAAGUGUUCGAGACACACAUGUGUCG
RNAcentral lists this transfer RNA (81 nucleotides) under Blumeria graminis f. sp. tritici 96224. RNAcentral describes it as "tRNA-Ser (GCT) (tRNA-Ser-GCT-4-1)". It matches the Rfam family "tRNA". Rfam says of the family: Transfer RNA (tRNA) molecules are approximately 80 nucleotides in length. Their secondary structure includes four short double-helical elements and three loops (D, anti-codon, and T loops). Further hydrogen bonds mediate the characteristic L-shaped molecular structure. tRNAs have two regions of fundamental functional importance: the anti-codon, which is responsible for specific mRNA codon recognition, and the 3' end, to which the tRNAs corresponding amino acid is attached (by aminoacyl-tRNA synthetases). tRNAs cope with the degeneracy of the genetic code in two manners: having more than one tRNA (with a specific anti-codon) for a particular amino acid; and 'wobble' base-pairing, i.e. permitting non-standard base-pairing at the 3rd anti-codon position. The record is from RNAcentral. Lineage: Eukaryota; Fungi; Ascomycota; Leotiomycetes; Helotiales; Erysiphaceae. RNAcentral also lists the same sequence under 2 other names.